UUAACUCAAAUUUGAAUGGAGUUCGCCUACGUUUGCCGCUAGGGGCGCUGUUCCAACUUCAUACAAAUUUGAGUUA
This 76-nucleotide microRNA precursor is filed under the name Bombyx mori (domestic silkworm). Its description in RNAcentral is "mir-2807 microRNA precursor family". It matches the Rfam family "mir-2807 microRNA precursor family". Lineage: Eukaryota; Metazoa; Arthropoda; Insecta; Lepidoptera; Bombycidae. The record is from Rfam by way of RNAcentral.